UCCCGGGUAGCGCAGUGGUAGCGCAGCUCGCUGUUAACGAGUUGGUCGUCAGUUCGAAUCUGACCCCGGGAGCCA
This 75-nucleotide transfer RNA is filed under the name Candidatus Parcubacteria bacterium. Its description in RNAcentral is "tRNA-Asn". It matches the Rfam family "tRNA". Rfam says of the family: Transfer RNA (tRNA) molecules are approximately 80 nucleotides in length. Their secondary structure includes four short double-helical elements and three loops (D, anti-codon, and T loops). Lineage: Bacteria; Candidatus Parcubacteria. The record is from RNAcentral.